CUCUCCGCUCCAUGGCAAAAUGUGUUGAAUUGCAGGAAACUUGCUUUAAAACUGCAACAUUUUCUCUACGCCCUAUGACAAAAUCUGUAACAUUGCAGAAAAUUAACUUUACUGCGAGGUGGGGGGCCCCUCAACCAAAUCGGGCACAUGGACACAUAGACACACACGAACACACGCACAUACACAACUUAAGCAUUUAUGCACUCAGAAACACCACACACACAAAUAGAAAUGGUGGACAAGGCGCUUUUUCUCAUUCUCCACCCACAGGUGGCGAUGUCACUCCUUUUAUGGUUUGUAUUGGAUGUAUGAGUUCAAGACUGUCAACAGGAAGCCAGUCUUAUACUUUACUUUAUAUCUAAGUUAUGGUAAUAAUUUAGCAGAUCAGGUUUAUUAUGACAAACUCUCUCUCUCUCACACAGUUUUGAUAAAACUUGGUUCUCUUGAGAAUGGACAUACUAUGGACAUAAUAUCUCAUCAUGAACAGUGAAAGUGAAAAAGGUUAACACCACAGGCAGUGCUGCUGUACAAAUAUGAGGCAAAAUAAUCAGUUGGUCAGCAGACAGAAACAGUUGAGUCUAAACCUUUUUCAAUGCUAGUUAAGGAUCUAUAGGCCUAGUUAUCACGUUUCACGUUGGAUUUCUUAACUACAAAAAGGUCAGGUGGAAAUGUCCGACAGAUCUCCACUCCAUAAAAGGAGGAAAUCACCAUCGCCUGAUCGCGCUGCUUUCUCUUCCUUCACUCUGUCAAAUCCAGAAGUUCUGUGCGUCCAUGAAUCCACCGACUCUGUUCCCUAUCAUCUGAACAUUCAUCUGAACUAUCUGUUGCGAUCGGGAGAGUGGGCCAUCAGUUGUUGUUUGAAGUUAUUAUCGCAGAGCCCGGCUUGGAGCGCACGCUUCAAACAUUUUGUGUAAUGUGACUGGUCAAUGAUUCCGGCCCUACGGAUCAUAAUAGGUCAAUUAUGCAAUUGGUAUGGUUAAUAUGUAAUGAAAUUCCAUGUACACAUGAAGACACUUGAAAGGGUGAAAUAAGAAAGUAAUUGUUUGUUGAACUGAUCGGCUCUGAUAUCCAACUAAUGGCGAUUAUAGAUUGAAUAACCGAUCACUGUUUGUAUUCUUUCAUGAUUUAUGAUAAAUAGUUACGAGCCUAAAUUACUCACCGAUGAUUCCUAUUGACGUAAUGAACUGGAUUGUUGAAUUCCCUAAAUGAUGUUAAUAAUGAAUGAUUGUUAUGAUUAGAUCUUUGUGAUGAUGGAUUUGAUUGGAUACACGUUAUUCUAUUUCCUUUGUUAUGCAGCACAGACUACCCAGUAAAUAUACCACUUUAUGGUUAAAGGAAUUCCUGCCUCAGUCUCAUCCAUUCCUCUGUCACCUGACCCGUGACCACCUGUUCACCCUCACUGUCAGUCAUCCUACCUGUCCAGCUACCCACACAGAUUCCACUAAUCUUUCAAAUAGGCUAUGUGUUUGCAGAUCGACUGCGGUUAAUGAAUCUAAAGCAGCCAAGGGGAUAACUGCUGGGGUAAUUUCUGCUUGUUUUUGCUCUUCUUCAAAUGGCAUUUUAACAUGUUUUAAUUGUAUAGAAAUGCAG
RNAcentral lists this long non-coding RNA (1590 nucleotides) under Salmo salar (Atlantic salmon). RNAcentral's name for it is "lncRNA (ENSSSAG00000095360.1)". The record is from RNAcentral. Lineage: Eukaryota; Metazoa; Chordata; Actinopteri; Salmoniformes; Salmonidae.